This is a long non-coding RNA of Vicia villosa (hairy vetch), 1171 nucleotides long. RefSeq lists it as uncharacterized. The transcript has 6 exons. The record is from RefSeq and is a predicted model, not a curated record. NCBI's taxonomy places the organism in Eukaryota, Viridiplantae, Streptophyta, Magnoliopsida, Fabales, Fabaceae.
ACUAGAGCUCUCAAAAACCUAACCAUGUGGCUCAAGUUUUUCACUGAAACUUGAAGGAGAAGAGCUCGACUUCCAUCCUUUUUAGAACUACUCAAGAAAGCAGCCACACAUAUACAAACAAGCAGAAUGUAGUAGAAAGAGGAGAAAGAAGACUCACCGGAUCUCAAACUUCCUCAAAGCUCAUACUUGCACCACCGUGCGCAGCUCCGUCACCGCUGUCGAAGCAAGCGGCCGCUGCCAUCAAUUUGUUCGAAAGCUUCAUUUCUCCAACUCUCCUGUAAGGUAUCCUUUCCCCUGAUUUCGUUUCUUGCUUCCAUUUUGUAUUUCGGUAUUGAUUCGAGGUCAAUUUCUGAGUUAGAACGUUUAGGGUUUCAUUGCUUUCCCUUUAGAUUUAGGCUUAUAUGUUGUUUGUUUGUCUAUGUGAAUUCCAUAUUUGGAUUGAGGGUAGUGAAAGGAGUCGGGUGGUGUUAUUUUGAGGAGCUCUGUCGAGGCCGCUGCCGUAGGGCGAUUUCCAGCACGGUGGAGUCGUCUUCUCUGCGACUUAUCUCUUCCAAUUUCUUUUCGAUUUGUUCGAUUCACGUUAGUUUUCGUUCAACUUCAUGUUUUAUUAACCUAAUUUGUUUGAUUUUUACAGAGAUUAAGACGAAUUCUAAAAGGGAAAACGAAACCCUAGUUGUGAAAAAACGAUUUGUAGACAUAUUCUCCAAUGACACUGUCUACUGCUCGGGAUUUCUGGACUCUAAGAUACACUACUAAUCUUGAGAAUGGAAGUAUUGUGAUAUCCUUAGUUUGCAGCAGGAUUAAGAGCAGUGGAAUUGCUACUUGAGUAGCUAUGUAUGCAUAAGGAGGUUGAUUUUUCGAUGGACUGCUAGAGAAACUGAAAGUGGACCAAUGCAAGGUGUAUUUGAAGAAUAAUGGUCUAAGGUUAACUGGAAAUAAGGACGGACACGCUUAUCCAGCAUAUAAAGGAGCAUCAGGAGAUUAUAAAUGGUGGAGGGGAGAAAAAAUACCUGCCUCAUAGCUUUGUUUUGAAUUGUAAAGGUGACGCAUGCACCGGUGAUGUUGUUUUGUUUGAGCAGAAUGUGUAUGAAAUGUUCAACAUAGCAUCUAGGAGUGCCAGCGGUCCACCGUGUGGCACAAGGAUAUUUGCAGGCUACAUGGUGAAAGAAAG